UAUCUCGUUCUCCCCGAAAUAGCUUUAGGGCUAGCCUCGGCCGUUCUCCGACGGCGGUAGAGCACUGGAUCGUCGAGGGGGCUUCACCGCCUACCGACACGAACCAAACUCCGAAUGCCGCCGGAUCAGAGGCCGGGAGUCAGAACAUGUGGGCUAAGCUGUGUGUUCGAGAGGGAAACAGCCCAGACCGCCCGCUAAGGUCCCCAAAUCCAUGCUGAGUGGCAAAGGAUGUGCGUUUGCCUAGACAACCAGGAUGUUGGCUUAGAAGCAGCCAUGCAUUUAAAGAGUGCGUAACAGCUCACUGGUCAAGUGGACAUGCGCCGACAAUUCACGGGGCUAAGCAUGGUACCGAAGCGGCGGACUAAUCUAUAUUAGUGGUAGGGGAGCUUUCCCCGCAGCGGAGAAGCCGAGAGGGCGACCCUCGGUGGAGCGCGGGGAAGUGAGAAUGCUGGCAUGAGUAACGAGAGCGGCGCGAGAAACGCCGCCGCCGUAAGCCUAAGGGUUCCUGGGCAAGGCUAAUCCUCCCAGGGUCAGUCGGGAGCUAAGGCGAGGCCGAGAGGCGUAGCCGAUGCGCAACAGGCGGACAUUCCUGUACCGCCUGCGGACCGCUAUCACCGACGGGGUGACGGAGAAGGGUAGCCGAGCGGGGUUCUGGACGUCCCCGUGAAAGCGCGUAGGGCGCGGAGCAUGGAAAUCAGCUCCGCAGACAGCCUGAGACGCGAGACGAAAGCUUAUGCUGAAGUCGGCGAGCCCAUGCUUCCGAGAAAAACCUCUAGGAAGGGACGCAGGCGCCCGUACCAAAACCGACACAGGUGGGCAGGUAGAGCAUACCGAGGCGAUCGGGAGAACCAUGGUUAAGGAACUCGGCAUACUGACUCCGUAACUUCGGGAGAAGGAGUGCCCCUGGCGGUGACGGGACUAGCUCCCCGAGCGGCCGGGGGUCGCAGCGAAACGGCCCAAGCGACUGUUUAUCAAAAACACAGGACUCUGCAAAGCCGUAAGGCGACGUAUAGGGUCUGACGCCUGCCCGGUGCUGGAAGGUUACGCGGAUGGGUCAGCCGCAAGGCGAAGCUCUGAAGCCAAGCCCCAGUAAACGGCGGCCGUAACUAUAACGGUCCUAAGGUAGCGAAAUUCCUUGUCGGGUAAGUUCCGACCUGCACGAAUGGCGUAACGAUUUGGGCGCUGUCUCAACCAUGGACCCGGUGAAAUUGUAUUAUUCGUGAAGAUGCGAAUUACCUGCGGAAGGACGGAAAGACCCCGUGAACCUUUACUGCAGCUUGACAUUGAUCGUUGGCUCGGCGCGUAGAGGA
This 1310-nucleotide ribosomal RNA is filed under the name human gut metagenome. RNAcentral's name for it is "bacterial LSU rRNA". It matches the Rfam family "Bacterial large subunit ribosomal RNA", at positions 846 to 2143 of the family's 2925-position model. The record is from RNAcentral.